RNAcentral lists this ribosomal RNA (497 nucleotides) under uncultured bacterium. RNAcentral describes it as "partial 16S ribosomal RNA". It matches the Rfam family "Bacterial small subunit ribosomal RNA", at positions 28 to 507 of the family's 1533-position model. The record is from RNAcentral.
GAUGAACGCUGGCGGCGUGCCUAAUACAUGCAAGUCGAGCGAACGGACGAGAAGCUUGCUUCUCUGAUGUUAGCGGCGGACGGGUGAGUAACACGUGGAUAACCUACCUAUAAGACUGGGAUAACUUCGGGAAACCGGAGCUAAUACCGGAUGAUAUUUUGAACCGCAUGGUUCAAAAGUGAAAGACGGUCUUGCUGUCACUUAUAGAUGGAUCCCGGCUGCAUUAGCUAGUUGGUAAGGUAACGGCUUACCAAGGCAACGAUGCAUAGCCGACCUGAGAGGGUGAUCGGCGACACUGGAGCUGAGACACGGUCCAGACUCCUACGGGAGGCAGCAGUAGGGUAUCUUCCGCAAUGGGCGAAAGCCUGACGGAGCAACGCCGCGUGAGUGAUGAAGGUCUUCGGAUCGUAAAACUCUGUUAUUAGGGAAGAACAUAUGUGUAAGUAACUGUGCACAUCUUGACGGUACCUAAUCAGAAAGCCACGGCUAACUACGUG